Molecule: ribosomal RNA, 468 nt
Filed under: uncultured bacterium
Lineage: Bacteria
Description: partial 16S ribosomal RNA
Rfam family: Bacterial small subunit ribosomal RNA
Source: RNAcentral
GACGAACGCUGGCGGCGUGCUUAACACAUGCAAGUCGAACGGAAAGACCCUGCUUUUGUGGGGUGCUCGAGUGGCGAACGGGUGAGUAACACGUGAGUAACCUACCCUUGACUUUGGGAUAACUUCAGGAAACUGGGGCUAAUACCGGAUAGGAGCUCCUGCUGCAUGGUGGGGGUUGGAAAGUUUCGGCGGUUGGGGAUGGACUCGCGGCUUAUCAGCUUGUUGGUGGGGUAGUGGCUUACCAAGGCUUUGACGGGUAGCCGGCCUGAGAGGGUGACCGGCCACAUUGGGACUGAGAUACGGCCCAGACUCCUACGGGAGGCAGCAGUGGGGAAUAUUGCACAAUGGGCGGAAGCCUGAUGCAGCAACGCCGCGUGCGGGAUGACGGCCUUCGGGUUGUAAACCGCUUUCGCCUGUGACGAAGCGUGAGUGACGGUAAUGGGUAAAGAAGCACCGGCUAACUACGUG